CCCUUAGAUGUUCUGGGCCGCACGCGCGCUACACUGACUGGUGCAACAAGUGUCGCUCCUUGGCCGAUAGGCCUGGGCAAUCUUUGAACGCCAGUCGUGAUGGGGAUAGAUUCUUGCAAUUUUUGAUCUUCAACGAGGAAUUCCUAGUAAACGCAAGUCAUCAACUUGCAUUGAUUACGUCCCUGCCCUUUGUACACACCGCCCGUCGCACCUACCGAUUGAAUGGUCCGGUGAAGCCUCCGGAUUGGCGCGCACCUCGGUGCCGCCGAGAAGUUGGCUAAACCUUACCAUUUAGAGGAAGGUGAANUCGUAACA
This 315-nucleotide ribosomal RNA is filed under the name uncultured eukaryote. RNAcentral describes it as "partial 18S ribosomal RNA". It matches the Rfam family "Eukaryotic small subunit ribosomal RNA", at positions 1470 to 1796 of the family's 1831-position model. The record is from RNAcentral.